RNAcentral lists this small RNA (20 nucleotides) under Arabidopsis thaliana (thale cress). RNAcentral's name for it is "ATSL221900". Lineage: Eukaryota; Viridiplantae; Streptophyta; Magnoliopsida; Brassicales; Brassicaceae. The record is from RNAcentral.
UUUUUUUUUGGUUAAAACUU